AUCUUACUGUAUCGGGUUAGAAACUUGAAAAGAUAGAUAUGGACUGGGGUGGUUACGAUGUAUUUGCCAGCAGAGAAAGCACAAAUAGCAACACAUCAUUGAAGAUUUUUGCUCCAAAUCUUAAAACUUUGAAAUGGAAAGGGGAGUUGAGGAAUAGCCAAAGUCUGGGACGUUUAGAGAGUUUGGAAGCAGUUGAGAUUUUAUUAGAGCCUCCGAAAAAUGAGUUUGACAAAGUCUAGGAGGUUCUUCGCAGUAUAUGCUUGGCAAAAGUUCUUAUUAUAAACGGGAAGCCCAUUAAGGCAAGUCACUUUGGUAAUGAAUACUGGAAACUGCAAAAGCUUGCUUUCAUUCACCAGCUCAAGGAGGUAAGCAUAGAGAAUUCCUAUGGGUCUAAUGAAAUCGAGUUUCAAAGGUAUAUUCUCGAGCGUGCUCAAAAUUUGAAAAAAAUGGUCAUUGUUCAUCGUGAUGAAAAUGCUCCAUCAAAAGUUGCUGGGAUGAUGCGUAGGAGCAGGAUGAUUUCCAAUGCUUCAGUUCACAUUCGGCAGGACCUAGACUACAUCUACACUCUCUCUGGUCCGGGGAUCCCACAUAGCUAUUUUGAUGUCUCACAUAGAGAUUCACAUAGCUUUUGAAAUCGACAUGUAUAUUGACAGGAUAUUUCUCUAGUAAUAUUUGCUUGAUAUUUCUCUCAUGCAGCAUUUGAAUCUGGUGAUGUUCUUAAUCGAUCAUGCCACCAACGAUUAACAGAUUAGAUCACCAAGAUGUAUGCAGCUACUUUGAAGAACAAUCUUGGGUUCUCGCGCACAUAAAUGUCUCGGGAAACCAAGAUCAAAGAAUUUACAUGAUUUCGAUCAAAAAUGCAAUUUCGU
This is a non-coding RNA of Malus domestica (apple), 869 nucleotides long. The record is from RefSeq and is a predicted model, not a curated record. Lineage: Eukaryota; Viridiplantae; Streptophyta; Magnoliopsida; Rosales; Rosaceae.